GACGAACGCUGGCGGCGUGCUUAACACAUGCAAGUCGAACGGAAAGGCCCUGCUUUUGUGAGGUUCUCUGGUGGCGAACGGGUGGGUAACAAGUGAGUAACCAACCCUUGACUUUGGGAUAACUUCAGGAAACUGAGGCUAAUAACUGCUACGAGCUCCUGCUGCAUGGUGGGGGUUGGAAAGUUUCGGCGGUUGGGGAUGGACUCGCGGCUUAUCAGCUUGUUGGUUGGGUAGUGGCUUACCAAGGCUUUGACGGGUAGCCGGCCUGAGAGGGUGACCGGCAACAUUGCGACUGAGAUACGGCCCAGACGCCUACGGGAGGCAGCAGUGGGGAAUAUUGCACAAUGGGCGGAAGCCUGAUGCAGCAACGCCGCGUGCGGGAUGACGGCCUUCGGGUUGUAAACCGCUUUCGCCUGUGACGAAGCGUGAGUGACGGUAAUGGGUAAAGAAGCACCGGCUAACUACGUG
RNAcentral lists this ribosomal RNA (468 nucleotides) under uncultured bacterium. Its description in RNAcentral is "partial 16S ribosomal RNA". It matches the Rfam family "Bacterial small subunit ribosomal RNA", at positions 28 to 507 of the family's 1533-position model. The record is from RNAcentral.